Thalassophryne amazonica is the source of this 177-nucleotide long non-coding RNA. RefSeq lists it as uncharacterized. The transcript is spliced from 2 exons. Lineage: Eukaryota; Metazoa; Chordata; Actinopteri; Batrachoidiformes; Batrachoididae. The record is from RefSeq and is a predicted model, not a curated record.
UAAUAUCUAAACUACUGCAGUGCCUACCCACCAUGUCCCCAUUGUAUUCCAAGCUUCAUUCAAUUAUCUUGAAAUAAGGAGGAUAUGGUAAUUUUCCUGUCUCAGCUACAUACAAUCACACUUUUUGUCUCAUUCUAAUGGAAAAGCAAUAAGGAUGAAUGGCCGUCUAUAAACACA